Long non-coding RNA from Pan troglodytes (chimpanzee), 885 nucleotides. RefSeq lists it as uncharacterized. The transcript is spliced from 2 exons. Lineage: Eukaryota; Metazoa; Chordata; Mammalia; Primates; Hominidae. The record is from RefSeq and is a predicted model, not a curated record.
CGCUGUGCCGCGGCCCGGGGUGCCGGGGAGCUGGGCUGGGGGCGGGGACCCCUGCCGGGAACCCGACUUAGCCCGGAGACGCUCAAGAGCAAGAAGCCGAGCGGAAAAGUUAGCGCAGGUUGUGGAAAUCAUGAGUUCCCUGCUAGUGACAUUGGAGUGCACAGAUGAAUAUCGACAAGGCUCCAGGGAGUUCUGAACAGAGGCCAAGGCAGGCCCUGGAGCUGUAUGCUGCUUACAGGAAAAGAGAAAGAGGGGACCCCAAUAGUCUAGGUCCCUGGAUCCUCUGACCCGGGGCCUGACACUGUCAGGGAAGCUGCUGUCUCCCUGGGGACCUAUUGAAUGUUCUUCCCAUGGCUGGUCAGUGCUGACACCUCAACACAGGAAGAGAAAUACUCCUAUGAAGUCAUCUGAAGCCUGGUCAUGCCAGGGACACUUCACGAAGCCAGGAACAGUCCUGUUUCUAAAAGCCCAAAAUCUAAUAGCCUCUCUACAGAUAUAAAAGCCCAAAGACAUGGAAAGUUUGUAUGCAGACAACCCUAGAAGUAAGGAAAAGUGAAUGACAUAUAUGUCAAUGCCCAGAAAGUUCCUUGAGAUCAGACACUGUACAUUUAUGGGAUACUUUCUAAGUGCCAGCUACUGUACGUGGUGCUGGAUCAGUGCAUCCAUUUCCUGGGGCUCCCGUGAUGAAGUGCCACAAACUGGAUGGCUUUAAACAACAGAAGUUUACUCUCUCACAGUUCUGAAGGUUAGAAGUCUGCCAUCAAGAUGUGAGCACACCCAGCCUCUCUCCAAAGGCUCCAGAGGAGAAUCCUUCCUUGCUUCUUCCUAGAGCUCCUUGGCAUACAGCUGCAUUACUCCAAGAUUUGCCUCUCUUGUCACACAGCA